CUCAUACCCUCAUUCAAUCACUGCUGUGAUCCCUUCCCAAAAUGGUGCAGCCUGGGAAAGAACUGAAAAAACUCACUAAAGAGUCAAGACAGAGACACCAGAAAGACCAAAGAAGACUUGGACGCAACAUCAGAGGACAGAGAGGGAUGUUCAGAACACACUCAGUCUGGUUAGAAGAGAAUGACUCCUCAACCCAAGAGGCCCUGGAGCAGCUGUGAUCAGGUUAGAAGAGAAUGACUCCUCAACC
Molecule: non-coding RNA, 247 nt
Organism: Salmo salar (Atlantic salmon)
Lineage: Eukaryota; Metazoa; Chordata; Actinopteri; Salmoniformes; Salmonidae
Source: RefSeq, a predicted model, not a curated record